Molecule: long non-coding RNA, 1273 nt
Filed under: Bos indicus x Bos taurus (hybrid cattle)
Lineage: Eukaryota; Metazoa; Chordata; Mammalia; Artiodactyla; Bovidae
Description: lncRNA (ENSBIXG00005010213.1)
Source: RNAcentral
CGCCUCCCGAGAUGGCCCACGCUCUGACUGUGGAGUGUGUUUCUCUCUAAAUAAAUCCACUUCUUACCUGUCACUUUGUGACUCACUGAAUUCUUUCCGUGAUGAGACAUCAAGGACCUGAGCUUCAUUAAGUCCUGAAACCAGGUGGUGAUCUCAGUUGGAAGACCGUGGGUUUUGGCCGGGUUCGAGUUCCAGCACAUGGGUUCAAGUCCCAGUCUGAAGUGAACGUUUCAUCCUGAUCUUCUUCACAUAGUCCCCCAUUAACAAGUUCAGCAUAUGUACAAUCCAGCUCAGCUCCAAGAUCACCUGGGGACUCUGUGCUGGCCCCUAGCCCAAAAUGAGACACUGAAGAGCUUCCUUGAACAAUUAUUAUCAUUAUUUUUUAAGAGACAGAAGGAGGUGCCUCCCUCCCACAGGGAGCCCACCUGUGUGCACAGCGCCUGCGCAGAGGACUCAGAAGUGGCUGGAAGCUCCCCACGGCCCAUCGCCAGCUUCCUAGGAGAGCCCGUGAACAACCCUGAGCCUCUGCUGGUUGCUCUCAUUCUUUCCAUGAUUUGGGAGAGGCUGGACAUUGGCAGGGAGGUGCUUCCCGCAGAGACUCCAAGGGCCUGGGAUGGGGUCAGACGGAGUCACAGGCUGGCCCCCAGCAGCUCCUGCUGCCUGCUUACCUUGCAGGAGUCUGUGAAAGCAGGAACCCCGGGUCUGGGUUUAUUUUCACCAUGCUUGGUACGUUCUUAGGCAAGUUAGAUCUUUCCUUGUUAUUGUGUCUCCUUCACUAUCUCAUUCAUUCAAUCGGCAAACACGUAUUGAGUAUCGCGUGUAUUCCAGGCUCUGUUCUUGUCAUCAGAAAAACAAUGAAUGAUGAAGUAUCUAUCCUCCUUGGGAGCAGGAGAUGCGAGGGGAGCACUGAAGGGGCAGCGAGCUGGGGUAAGAUGAGGUGACACUUUUGGACAGGCUAAGUGUGCAGUGUCAAUGGGACAGCUGGGUGGGCCUCCAGGGAGGUGGGUAGAUGAUGGCGAAGCCCAUGGAAGCCAACUGUGCCAGAAACAGAGCAGUGGAGGGAGGACGGCGCUGCCAGCCUCAGUCUCCCCAUUCCCCACAGCCCUCUGCACUGGCGAUGACAGUGCGGAUGGCGGGGAUGACGGUAAGCAUUUAUCAAAGGCUUCCUCAACACCAGGCAGGCCCCACGUCAAGUGAUUUGCAAAUCGCCUUUCAUUAUCAGAACAACCCUGGGGGAUGAGUCUGAUCAUCCCUGUUUUCAGAAAGAAUUGAA